GAUGAACGCUGGCGGCGUGCCUAAUACAUGCAAGUCGAGCGAACAGACGAGGAGCUUGCUCCUCUGACGUUAGCGGCGGACGGGUGAGUAACACGUGGAUAACCUACCUAUAAGACUGGGAUAACUUCGGGAAACCGGAGCUAAUACCGGAUAAUAUAUUGAACCGCAUGGUUCAAUAGUGAAAGACGGUUUUGCGUUCACUUAUAGAUGGAUCCGCGCGGCAUUAGCUAGUUGGUAAGUUAACGGCUUACCAAGGCGACGAUGCGUAGCCGACCUGAGAGGGUGAUCGGCCACACUGGAACUGAGACACGGUCCAGACUCCUACGGGAGGCAGCAGUAGGGAAUCUUCCGCAAUGGGCGAAAGCCUGACGGAGCAACGCCGCGUGAGUGAUGAAGGUCUUCGGAUCGUAAAACUCUGUUAUUAGGGAAGAACAAAUGUGUAAGUAACUAUGCACGUCUUGACGGUACCUAAUCAGAAAGCCACGGCUAACUACGUG
Molecule: ribosomal RNA, 497 nt
Filed under: uncultured bacterium
Lineage: Bacteria
Description: partial 16S ribosomal RNA
Rfam family: Bacterial small subunit ribosomal RNA
Source: RNAcentral